Molecule: ribosomal RNA, 1313 nt
Filed under: metagenome
Description: bacterial LSU rRNA
Rfam family: Bacterial large subunit ribosomal RNA
Source: RNAcentral
CCUUGAGUGGAGUCUUCGGACGAAGCGAAGUGAUAAAAGUUCUUCCAAGAAAAGCGAGUAUAGCAGCCGGUACCGCAAACCGACACAGGUAGACGGGAUGAGUAUUCUAAGGCGCUCGGGUGAGCCGUGGAGAAGGAACUAGGCAAAUUGAUGCUGUAACUUCGGGAUAAAGCAUACCAUCUUCGGAUGGUCUCAGUAAAAUGGUUCAACCAACUGUUUAACAAAAACACAGGGCCCUGCAAAAUCGAAAGAUGACGUAUAGAGCCUGAUACCUGCCCGGUGCUGGAAGGUUAAGGAAGGGUGUUCGUCGCAAGACAAAGCUCCUGACUGAAGCCCCAGUAAACGGCGGCCGUAACGAUAACGGUCCUAAGGUAGCGAAAUUCCUUGUCGGGUAAGUUCCGACCUGCACGAAUGGUCUAAUGAGUUGAACGCUGUCUCCUCCACGAGCCCGGUGAAAUUGUAGUAUCGGUGAAGAUGCCGGUUACCCGCCACGGGACGGAAAGACCCCGUGAACCUUCACUAUAGCCUUGCAUUGAUUUUGAAUUCCGGAUGUGUAGAAUAGUUGGGACGCUUUGAAGCCUUGCCGCCAGGUAGGGUGGAGCGGUCGUUGAAAUACCAACCUUCUUUGAUUUAGGAUCUAAUCCCUGACGGGAGACAGUGCAUGGUGGGUAGUUUGACUGGGGUGGUCGCCUCCUAAAGAGUAACGGAGGCUUGCAAAGGUACCCUCAGUACGGUUGGUAAUCGUACGUAGAGCGCAUUAGUAUAAGGGUGCUUGACUGUGAGGCACACAAGCCGAGCAGGGACGAAAGUCGGCUAAAGUGAUCCGGCGGUUCUGUAUGGAAGGGCCGUCGCUCAAAGGAUAAAAGGUACUCCGGGAUAACAGGCUGAUCUCCCCCAAGAGCUCAUAUCGACGGGGAGGUUUGGCACCUCGAUGUCGGUUCGUCACAUCCUGGGGCUGGAGAAGGUCCCAAGGGUUCGGCUGUUCGCCGAUUAAAGUGGCACGUGAACUGGGUUCAGAACGUCGCAAGACAGUUCGGUCCCUAUCUGUGGUGGGCGCAAGUAAAUUGAGAGAACAUGACCUUAGUACGAGAGGACCGGGUCGUACGUACCGCUGGUGUAUCAGUUAUGCCGCCAGGUGUAAUGCUGAGUAGCUAUGUACGGACAGGAUAAACGCUGAAAGCAUCUAAGCGUGAAACCUAUCUCAAGAUGAGUUUACUUUUAAGGGCCGUCAAAGACUAUGACGUUGAUAGGCUAUAGGUGUAAAGCUGGUAACAGCAAAGCCAAGUAGUACUAAUUGCCCGUACGCUUUAACG